RNAcentral lists this ribosomal RNA (462 nucleotides) under uncultured bacterium. RNAcentral's name for it is "partial 16S ribosomal RNA". It matches the Rfam family "Bacterial small subunit ribosomal RNA", at positions 28 to 507 of the family's 1533-position model. The record is from RNAcentral.
GACGAACGCUGGCGGCGUGCUUAACACAUGCAAGUCGAACGGUGAAGCCCUUCGGGGUGGAUCAGUGGCGAACGGGUGAGUAACACGUUAGCAGCCUGCCCCUGGCUCUGUGACAACCACUGGAAACGGUGGCUAAUACCGGAUACGACCCGCCUCAGCAUCGAGUGUGGGUGGAAGGUUUUUCGGCUGGGUAUGGGCUCGCGUCCUAGCAGCUUGGUUGUGAGGUGUAGGCGCCCCAAGGCGAGGACGGGUAGCCGGCCUGAGAGGGCGACCGGCCACAAUGGGCCUGAGGAACGGACCAGACUCCUACGGGAGGCAGCAGUGGGGAACAUUGCACAAUGGGCGAAAGCCUGAUGCAGCGACGCCGCGUGAGGGAUGACGGCCUUCGGGUUGUAAACCUCUUUAAGCUCCGAAGAAGCGAAAGUGACGGUAGGAGCAGAAGAAGCACCGGCUAACUACGUG